RNAcentral lists this non-coding RNA (28 nucleotides) under Mus musculus (house mouse). Lineage: Eukaryota; Metazoa; Chordata; Mammalia; Rodentia; Muridae. The record is from RNAcentral.
AAAAAAAAAAAAGUGAGCUGCUGCCAGC